GACCAAGAAGUCUAACAUGUGUGCGAGUCAUUGGGUAUAUUGUUGAAACCUAAGGGCGCAAUUAAAAUAACUAUUUUAUGGGAUUACAAGUGAAUUAAAUUUCAUUUCUUCAUCCCGGGGCGUUCUAUACGAACAUGGUUCAAGCAAUUGAAUCCUCUGUUCAAGAGCGUACCUUGAGCAUACAUGCUGUGACCCGAAAGAUGGUGAACUAUACCUGAUCAGAUCGAAGCCAGGAGAAAUUCUGGUGGAGGAUCGAAACAGUUCUGACGUGCAAAUCGAUUGUCAGAAUUGGGUAUAGGGGCGAAAGACCAAUCGAACCAUCUAGUAGCUGGUUCCCUCCGAAGUUUCCCUCAGGAUAGCUGGCGCAAAGAAUUAUAUUGUAUAUAAUCUUAUCUGGUAAAGCGAAUGAUUAGAGGCCUUGGGGCCGAAACGACCUCAACCUAUUCUCAAACUUUAAAUGGGUAAGAACCUCAUCUUUCUUGAUCUGAAGAUAUUGGGGUUUAGAUAUAUUGUGCCCAGUGGGCCACUUUUGGUAAGCAGAACUGGCGCUGUGGGAUGAACCAAACAUGAUGUUACGGCGCCUAAAUUAAUGACUCAUAUUGAUACCAUGAAAGGCGUUGGUUGCUUAAAACAGCAGGACGGUGGACAUGGAAGUCGUAAUCCGCUAAGGAGUGUGUAACAACUCACCUGCCGAAGCAACUAGCCCUUAAAAUGGAUGGCGCUCAAGUCAUAUGCCUAUACAUCAUCGCUAGAAUAAAUAUUGUUGGCCAUUCGGUCAUCAUUGUGAAAUUCUAGUGAGUAGGAGGGUACAAUGGUGUGCGCAGAAGUGUUUGGCGUGAGCCUGCAUGAAGCCGCCAUUGGCACAGAUCUUGGUGGUAGUAGCAAAUAAUCGAAUGAGAUCUUGGAGGACUGAAGUGGAGAAGGGUUUCGUGUGAACAGUGGUUGAUCACGAGUUAGUCGGUCCUAAGCUUUAUGCGAAAGCUGUUUAAUUUAUGUUACACACAAUUUUUUUUGUUGUACAUAAUUCAAUAAAAGCGAAAGGGAAUACGGUUCCAAUUCCGUAACCUGUUGAGUAUACGUUUGUUUAUUAAAAAUGGGUCUUAUUACACUCAUCCUGGCAACAGGAACGACCAUAGAGAAGCCUUCGAGAGAUACUGGAAGAGUUUUCUUUUCUGCUAAACAAGCGUACCACCAUGGAAGUCUUUUAUAGAGAGAUAUGGUGGAUGGCUUGGAAGAGCAUGACAUUUACUGUUGUGUCAGUAUUUUCUCCUUGGACCUUGAAAAUCUAUGGUGGGGCCACGCAAACUUCUCAACAGACCGUACCGAUAUCCGCAG
This 1335-nucleotide ribosomal RNA is filed under the name Bradysia hilaris. RNAcentral's name for it is "eukaryotic LSU rRNA". It matches the Rfam family "Eukaryotic large subunit ribosomal RNA", at positions 664 to 1859 of the family's 3401-position model. The record is from RNAcentral. Lineage: Eukaryota; Metazoa; Arthropoda; Insecta; Diptera; Sciaridae.